RNAcentral lists this long non-coding RNA (565 nucleotides) under Callithrix jacchus (white-tufted-ear marmoset). RNAcentral describes it as "lncRNA (ENSCJAG00000085431.1)". The record is from RNAcentral. Lineage: Eukaryota; Metazoa; Chordata; Mammalia; Primates; Cebidae.
AAAUCAAGGUGGAAAUUAAAAAAAAUUCUUCAUGGAAACCAUUAUGCUCAGGAAACUGACACAAGAACAGAAAAAUCAAACACCGCAUGUUCUCACUCAUAGGGUGUUUUCAGGUCUGAAAAGAACACCUGAAAGUACCAAAGCCAUCUUGCCAUGAGCAGCCUGAGAAUGGAGACGAUGACUGAGGGUGGCAGAGCAGAAAGAUGGUAAGAGCCUGCAUCUGUAAUAACUGGGCUGGCCACUGAAGCUGCUUACCCAACCCUCUCCCCCUUGGUAAGUACAGUUAUCCCAAUGAAUGAAUUCUGAAAAAUUGUUUAAGGGUGUUUAAAUCUGGUUUUUAUGGCUUGAAGCCAAAAGCGUUCUAGCUAAAAUAACUUGCCAUGUAGUAAAUGUUUAUUAAACAUUUUUAAUAAACAUUAAUGUACAUUAAACAUAACUUGAUUUUAAAGUGGUGGUCUUAGAAAUCAAAGGGUGUGUCCCUUGUGAGUCUGUCAUGCAAUAGGAUUUGGAACAUGAAAUACAGUAUUCUUAUGGUCAUCCCCUAUAAGCCCACGCUUAUUUUGUU